GAUGAACGCUAGCUACAGGCUUAACACAUGCAAGUCGAGGGGCAGCAUGACGAUAGCUUGCUAUUGUUGAUGGCGACCGGCGCACGGGUGAGUAACGCGUAUCCAACCUGCCCUUGUCCACCGGAUAACCCGUCGAAAGGCGGACUAACACGGUAUGCAGUCCACAGCAGACAUCUAACGUGGACGAAAUGUGAAGGAGAAGGAUGGGGAUGCGUCUGAUUAGCUUGUUGGCGGGGUAACGGCCCACCAAGGCGACGAUCAGUAGGGGUUCUGAGAGGAAGGUCCCCCACAUUGGAACUGAGACACGGUCCAAACUCCUACGGGAGGCAGCAGUGAGGAAUAUUGGUCAAUGGGCGAGAGCCUGAACCAGCCAAGUAGCGUGCAGGAUGACGGCCCUAUGGGUUGUAAACUGCUUUUAUAAGGGAAUAAAGUGAGCCACGUGUGGCUUUUUGCAUGUACCUUAUGAAUAAGGACCGGCUAAUUCCGUGCCAGCCGCCGCGGUAA
This 504-nucleotide ribosomal RNA is filed under the name uncultured bacterium. RNAcentral describes it as "partial 16S ribosomal RNA". It matches the Rfam family "Bacterial small subunit ribosomal RNA", at positions 28 to 523 of the family's 1533-position model. The record is from RNAcentral.